CCCACGUUUCGGCCUUUUGGCUAAGACAAAGGGUGUAAGUACUGUUCUUAUCAGCCUUAAUAUUGAUACGUCUCCAUUGGGGGGGACCUCGAAUUUAAAUUAAAAACUGAUUUUGAAAGGGGGUGAGGGGCCCGGGGGCUUGCUCCGCCCUCACCAACGGGUUGAACCCGGUAGCAGACUUCCCGGGAAGGGCCCACCAUAU
Gigantopelta aegis is the source of this 202-nucleotide small nuclear RNA. RefSeq annotates it as U2 spliceosomal RNA. The record is from RefSeq and is a predicted model, not a curated record. Lineage: Eukaryota; Metazoa; Mollusca; Gastropoda; Neomphalida; Peltospiridae. The transcript has a single exon.